CUUCAGAGAUCUUCAGGGGAUCUAGAAGUAUGACUGGGGUGGUGCCGCUUAUGCUUGCUUCCUCCAGAUGAUGGACCACCUGGCCUUCGGUGACCCUAGUCUGUACGGAGCCUCCUUCAUUCUUCAGAUUCCUGGGCAUAUGAGCACCUUAGCUUUCUUUGCCCUCCCCUAACUGAUGGGGAACAUGAUAAUUUUCCCAUCACUAGGAAGUGGGGGAAGAAUGAGACUUUUCGUGGUCCUCCGCCCCUUUUUAUCACAUGGAGAGAUGUGUUGAACCGACUUACUAAGUAUGGCAGGCUUAUCCCCUUCCCUGGCUUCAACACUCCCAGAUCUGCAGGUGCUUCCAUAGAGGGUUUAUCUCACAUGAGUACCAGCCCGGUUCACAACAUGGUGGAGGUGUCCUCAUCUAUUUCAGGCUUUCUCGGGUGGAUGUACACUGAUGCGAGUGAUCCUUCUAUUUAGCUAAUAAUACCGAGGACAAUGAUGGAUGACGAGAGAAACUUCUAUUCAGCUGAUAAUACCGAGGACAAUGAUGGAUGAAGAGAGAAUGGAUCUCCCUAUUCCUUUUGACUGUGUAAGGCAUCUUCCUCUCCCUAUUGUACAUUUUACUCUUCAUCUCACUCUCUGCCCAUUAUAGGUUUCCUAUGCUGUCUAUGUCGAGUGCCGUUAGAUGAUCCAGAGCCUCAACACAUGUUUGUAUCAUCACACAAAGCACAUCCAAGACCUGACGAACACGUCACGAGUCUUCAGGCGAGAUUUGGCCAACCCGAUCCCAGAUUUGGAGGCAGGUGUCCUGCCCUUGGAUAUGGAGGUGGAGGUCUUGCCUUGGAUAUGGAGGUGGAGGUCCUGCCCCUAGGUAUGGAGGCAAAGUAGCUGAUCUUGGAUUUGGAGGCAGGGUAUCUGGCCCAGGAUUUGUAGGUGGGGAUCCGGUCCUGUAUAUGGAGGAGUUGACCCCUGCUAUGGAGGUGGGAGUGGGGAGUCUGACGUAGGCCCCACGUUCUGUUUGAAUGAUCUUGAUCUCUUAUGUGGUAAUGAUGGGCAGGACGGGCAGUCAUAGAACCAGGACCU
Long non-coding RNA from Macadamia integrifolia, 1068 nucleotides. RefSeq lists it as uncharacterized. NCBI's taxonomy places the organism in Eukaryota, Viridiplantae, Streptophyta, Magnoliopsida, Proteales, Proteaceae. The transcript is spliced from 4 exons. The record is from RefSeq and is a predicted model, not a curated record.